CAGAAUUUGUUCAUGUAUCUGUGGGUAAAUCUUUAACACAAAAUGUUGGGUUUUGUUCAUUUUAAAGAGCUCAUCAGUCAGUCAGUCAGCUUCUCAGAGUAGCAAUCCAUGUGUCCAGAGAAAAUCAUCACAUGUAAGUGAUAGAAAAGGAAGCAGGCGGAGAAUGGAUACAGAAGAACGAAAAGACAAAGACUCUAUUCAUGGACAUAGUCAGUUGGAUAAAAGACCCGAACCAAGCACAUUGGAGAAUAUUACUGAUGAUAAAUAUGCAACAGUUUCAUCACCAUCAAAGUCAAAGAAGUUAGAGUGCCCUUCUCCUGCAGAACAAAAGCCAGCAGAACAUGUGUCUUUGUCAAAUCCAGCUCCCCUUCUAGUUUCUCCAGAGGUACAUCUAACUCCUGCGGUGCCUUCUUUACCAGCCACUGUGCCAGCCUGGCCAAGUGAACCUACAACUUUUGGACCAACAGGUGUCCCUGCUCCAAUUCCCGUUUUGUCAGUGACACAGACUUUGACCACUGGACCUGAUUCAGCUGUAUCCCAAGCUCAUUUAACACCCUCUCCAGUUCCUGUGUCAAUACAGGCAGUUAACCAGCCCUUGAUGCCUUUGCCUCAGACAUUGAGCCUUUAUCAAGACCCACUCUAUCCUGGGUUUCCUUGUAAUGAAAAGGGAGAUCGAGCCAUUGUACCACCUUAUUCACUGUGUCAGACUGGGGAGGACCUACCUAAAGGUGAGCUCCUUCUCCAAGUUCAAAUCGACUUUAUCAAGUCCAAAUAAGCUUAGUUAAGA
RNAcentral lists this long non-coding RNA (787 nucleotides) under Pan troglodytes (chimpanzee). Its description in RNAcentral is "long non-coding RNA NONPTRT013246". Lineage: Eukaryota; Metazoa; Chordata; Mammalia; Primates; Hominidae. The record is from RNAcentral.